Homo sapiens (human) is the source of this 833-nucleotide long non-coding RNA. RefSeq lists it as uncharacterized. The record is from RefSeq and is a predicted model, not a curated record. NCBI's taxonomy places the organism in Eukaryota, Metazoa, Chordata, Mammalia, Primates, Hominidae. The transcript is spliced from 2 exons.
GACGGGUGGUGCGCGGCGGGCGCGCGGGUCGAGAGAGCGUGGCGGCGCGGCCCGGAGCGCAGCGCGCGGCAGGGCUCCCCCUGGCGGUCAGAGGACAGCGCGAGGCAGACACCGCCUCCGCCUGGUGAGGUAGACACCGCCUCCGCCUGGUGAGGUCUCCCGGCGUUCAGGUCGCGGCUCCGCCCACGGCCGCCCCAGGGUGGGCUUCCUACACGUCUCUUUAAAGGGCAGCCUGAGCGGCCACCGGGACUCGGAAAUGCUACGUAGUUUUCGUUCUCAGAAGCAGCUGUUUAUGCGCAAGCGCCCCCUUCUUCUUUUCGCUUUGCUACCUUCAAGGACCUUCUCCCAAACUGCUAAUUUUUCUUCAUCCGUUAAAGGUCUAUUGAUUCACAUUAUUUGCUGGCAGUGUGUGAAGUCAACGAACAAGACUGAGUCUUUGCCCUUGAGACGCGUACACUCUACCCAGAGACAAGUUCUAAGCACAGGAAACAAGUAAUUUUAUAAGAACAUCAUAGGGCAGUUAUUCUCCAGAUGAAUUCAGAUUAAAGAGGACACUUGAGCCGGAUUUGGAGGAAGAGAGCCAUGGUUUGGAAUAGAACAUGAACGAGUGCAGAGGAGUGGAAAUUACCACAGUUUGUUCUGAAGACUGGAUACAGCGGCACCUUCCUGGAGCAGUGGUACCCCUUAAAGGUGAAGGGAACGUGGGUGUUGCAACAGAGGACCAUUAUCAAGAAGACUCUUUUGGGUUUGGUCUGAGAGGCACUGGGAAACCUCUUAAACUUGAGUAAGGUAGAGUCUUGACUCAAAGUAAUAAAUUGGCAAAAAACUCCACA